GUUCUGAAGAUAAGAGCCAUUUCUACAGGAAUCAUCUGGUGCUGGAAAACCCUGUUGCAUCCUGUGAGGUGAAGCUGCUCUCUCUCGGUGGCCGCUCAUCUGUGGCUAUCGCCCAUGUGGGUGUGGGACUGGAGAUGCUCAAGGGCAGACAAGGUGGGCCGAGUAUAGACCCAGGCAUUGACCUUCAGUGUGUGCUGACCAUGAUGGAGGAGAUGGGCACCACCCUUUCACCAGGAGCGCAGAACCUCAUGGAACUGGUGCAGUGCCAGCAAAAG
This is a long non-coding RNA of Sinocyclocheilus anshuiensis, 275 nucleotides long. RefSeq lists it as uncharacterized. The transcript is spliced from 2 exons. Lineage: Eukaryota; Metazoa; Chordata; Actinopteri; Cypriniformes; Cyprinidae. The record is from RefSeq and is a predicted model, not a curated record.